RNA transcript from Trifolium pratense (red clover), 2177 nucleotides. It is a transcript of the gene named golgin subfamily A member 2, with no coding region annotated. Lineage: Eukaryota; Viridiplantae; Streptophyta; Magnoliopsida; Fabales; Fabaceae. The transcript is spliced from 8 exons. The record is from RefSeq and is a predicted model, not a curated record.
CAAAACCUUUCAAGGGCUUUCAUGUACUAUUUCAUCAUCAUCAUUAUCAUCACAUUUUCAAAAUCUAUGAUCCAGUAAUCGAUACUUUUCACUGUCUUUGAUUUCGAUUUCCAAUUUCAGUAGUUCGAACUUGGAACAGAGUCACUGCACAAAUUCCAAUUUGCUUACAUAAAUGUCAAAUUGCUUCGCAACUGAUAGUGAUUUUCCCUUAAUUGGGGAAGAACUUGUUCAAUUGGGAACACCAUUCAGAGAGCAUAGAAAAGAUAAGUAUGUUUUAGAAAGUUCUCAUUCUGAAAGCUCUCAAGUGCCAACUCAGAUACUAGAAGUAGAACAACAUGAAAAGUCACUGUCAAUGGCUCAUAUGGAAGAUAAGAAAUACAUCCAGAGGUUGGAAAAAGAGCUGCUAAAUUGUUCUCAAGAAAUAGAUUAUCUUCAGGAUCAACUCAGUGCAAGAAACACAGAGGUGACCUAUCUAGAAGAGCGUGUUUGCGAUCUUGAAAUGGAAUUCAAGGAGAAGGAAGAUUUACGAAAAGAAGUUUCCAGCUUAAAGGAGAAGCUGAAAAUAUGCAUCUCACAGCAGCUUUCCUUGGUUCAGGAACUUGAGACUAAAGAAGUGGAAUUAGAGCAGUCGGCUCUGACUAUGGAGGAAUCAUUUUCAUCCAUGGGAUUAGAGUCUCAGUUUGAAGUCGAGAGUAUGAAGCUUGAUAUGAUGACCUUGGAGCAGAGUUUAUUCGAAGGAAGGAAAGUCCAGGAAGAAACUCUAGAAGAAAAUAAUAGAAUGGGUAGAUUGAUCGACAAGUUACAGGAUGCACUGCAAGAUGCACAGAAAACCAUCAUCUCUCUGAAUGAAGAAAAUAAGGUAAUUAAAGAAAAGCUUGACACUGCCAACAUGAAUACUAGAUUAUUUUCCCAAAAGGUUAAAGACUGGCUGGAAAACAAGGACAGACCGCAAAUCAAGGAUCAGUCUUCUUUGAGUGAACAAAGGAGCAAAGGAGAGGACACAAGAAUUUAUGGAGAAAUAUUGGGCCCACUCCUUGGUAUUUUGGCAAUGAAAUUAGAUCCAGCUUCAGAAUUAAAAGGGAAGAUGGAGAUGUCCUGUCAGAUACAAGAAUAUGAGUUUCUUGUGGAGAAACUCAAGAAUUAAGAGAGGAAAAGUUGAGGGCAAAAGAAGAAGCCGAGGACUGGGUUCAGGAAAUGGCAGAGCUUAGAUACCAACUUACAGGUCAGCUAGAAGAAGAAUGUAAGCGCCGUGCCUGCAUCGAACAUGCGUCCUUGCAAAGAAUUGCCGAGUUAGAGGCUCAGGUAUGAAUUUAGAAGCUAAAAUUUCUCCUUUUUCCUCUUAUUCAUUUGAGGCCAUUCAAAGUUGUAACUUUUUUUUUUUUUCAAGCUUCAAAGAAAGCAUAAACACCCAUAACUGCUGUCAGAUAUCUCCUUGAAACAUAGAGGCUGGCAUUUUUCUAAUUCUUUCCGGACCGGCUUUAAAGAAUGGACCUUCAAGCUUUCCUGAGUAGGAACCAGAAGACGAAUAUUUUUGAUGCCUAAUUCAACGGAGAGAAAAAAACAACAGAAGUUUGUAAUGAUGACAAGAACAUAGUAUAGAAUGACAAUGCAAUGAGGGAUUGUAGUUUAGAAAAGCAUCCGUGGCAAGAAAACUGAUAUAAAUCGACUGUAUUUUUUCUCAAGAAAAAUUGAAAUCUAGGAUUUCUUCUAGUGCCUUGGUGCCAGCUUUUACUGAAGUGAAUAAGUCAAAAGAUUCAAAAGAAGCAAACUACAUGAAACUCCAUUGUAUGACACCAAUCCCACCUUUGACCAUCACCGCUUUUGUAUGACUCCAUUGCUGUUGUUGUUGUUGUUGUUGUUGUUGUUGUUGUUGUUGUUGUUUGAUGCCUUCAUUCAUCUCCAGGGCUACAAGGCUACAAUAUAUACUCCCUCCGAUCUUAAAUAUAAGAUAAAGUUUAUUUUUUAAUUUCAGUAUUAUUAGUUGUUACGUAUUAUUUUUUUUAAGUUUGUUUUAAUUUUGUGUCAAAAAGUUUUGUUUUAAUGUAAGUAUUAUUGUUAUUAUCUUUUUUCAAGUUUUUUUAUUAUCUUUAGUAAAUUUAGUCUAAUUAUGAUUCCGAUUGUAAGUCUAUUUAAAGACAAUCAUAUUUGAAAUAAAAGGGAAUUAUCAUUUAUCAUAA